UUUUCACCAGAACUUUCCCCUUCAUCCUCCAUCUCCUCUUUCAAGUCUCAGAUUCUGUUUUUGGACAACACAAACUCAUCCCCUGCCACCAACACCACCACACAGAUUUCUGGGUUUGACUCCAGCACCUUGAACCCAAAACAGAAUGAAACUGUGUUAGUGCCACUGCCCCAGUUGGGAAACACGCAUAUCUCAACUCAAAAUUCAAAAGGGUCAUCGAAAAAUCAAAACUUUGAAACCAAAUCCUCACAUGGAAAGAGGUCUCCAGCUCACCAUCAUGAUCACAUCAUGGCAGAGAGAAAGCGCAGGGAGAAGCUCAGCCAGAGCUUCAUUGCUCUCGCAGCACUUG
This 349-nucleotide long non-coding RNA is filed under the name Lotus japonicus. Its description in RNAcentral is "long non-coding RNA (LJAP_LNC000320)". Lineage: Eukaryota; Viridiplantae; Streptophyta; Magnoliopsida; Fabales; Fabaceae. The record is from RNAcentral.